Molecule: long non-coding RNA, 824 nt
Organism: Oncorhynchus keta (chum salmon)
Lineage: Eukaryota; Metazoa; Chordata; Actinopteri; Salmoniformes; Salmonidae
Exons: 3
Source: RefSeq, a predicted model, not a curated record
GUCCAUACAGCCAUCUUAAGACUGUCAUAAGGGUGUCGUAGAGGUGCCAUAAGUAUGUCAUAAGGGUGUCGUAGAGGUGCCAUAAGUAUGUCAUAAGGGUGUCGUAGAGGUGCCAUAAGUAUGUCAUAAGGGUGUCGUAGAGGUGCCAUAAGUAUGUCAUAAGGGUGUCGUAGAGGUGCCAUAAGUAUGUCAUAAGGGUGUCGUAGAGGUGCCAUAAGUAUGUCAUAAGGGUGUCGUAGAGGUGCCAUAAGUAUGUCAUAAGGGUGUCGUAGAGGUGCCAUAAGUAUGUCAUAAGGGUGUCGUAGAGGUGCCAUAAGUAUGUCAUAAGGGUGUCGUAGAGGUGCCAUAAGUAUGUCAUAAGGGUGUCGUAGAGGUGCCAUAAGUAUGUCAUAAGGGUGUCGUAGAGGUGCCAUAAGUAUGUCAUAAGGGUGUCGUAGAGGUGCCAUAAGUAUGUCAUAAGGGUGUCGUAGAGGUGCCAUAAGUAUGUCAUAAGGGUGUCGUAGAGGUGCCAUAAGUAUGUCAUAAGGGUGUCGUAGAGGUGCCAUAAGUAUGUCAUAAGGGUGUCGUAGAGGUGCCAUAAGUAUGUCAUAAGGGUGUCGUAGAGGUGCCAUAAGUAUGUCAUAAGGGUGUCGUAGAGGUGCCAUAAGUAUGUCAUAAGGGUGUCGUAGAGGUGCCAUAAGUAUGUCAUAAGGGUGUCGUAGAGGUGCCAUAAGUAUGUCAUAAGGGUGUCGUAGAGGUGCCAUAAGUAUGUCAUAAGGGUGUCGUAGAGGUGCCAUAAGUAUGUCAUAAGGGUGUCGUAGAGGUGCCAUAAGUAUGUCAUAAGG